RNAcentral lists this ribosomal RNA (256 nucleotides) under uncultured bacterium. RNAcentral's name for it is "partial 16S ribosomal RNA". It matches the Rfam family "Bacterial small subunit ribosomal RNA", at positions 524 to 776 of the family's 1533-position model. The record is from RNAcentral.
GACGUAGGUGGCGAACGUUAUCCGGAAUUAUUGGGCGUAAAGGGUGCGUAGCUGGCCUGAUAAGUUAGCAGUGGGAAAUCGAGGCUCAACCUCGUGGAAGCUGGUAAUACUGUCAAGCUCGAGUGCAGGAGAGGUUAACGGAACUCCAUGUGGAGCGGUAAAAUGUGUAGAUAUAUGGAAGAACACCAAUAACGGCGAAGGCAGUUAACUAUUCUGUUACUGACAUUGAGGCACGAAAGCGUGGGGAGCAAAACGG